Molecule: ribosomal RNA, 439 nt
Filed under: uncultured bacterium
Lineage: Bacteria
Description: partial 16S ribosomal RNA
Rfam family: Bacterial small subunit ribosomal RNA
Source: RNAcentral
CUACGGGCGGCACCAGUGGGGAAUAUUGCCCCCUUUAUUAAACUCUUAUUCCUCCACGCCGCCCCGCCUAUGACACUUUUCGGAGCGUAAACUCCUUUUAUAUAGGAAGAAUAUUCCUUUCCUCUCCCCCUAAGCGCCGGCUAACUCCGUGCCAGCAGCCGCGGUAAUACGGAGGGCGCAAGCGUUACUCGGAAUCACUGGGCGUAAAGAGCGUGUAGGCGGAUUAAAAAGUCAGAAGUGAAAUCCUAUAGCUUAACUAUAGAACUGCUUCUGAAACUCUUAAUCUAGAAUAUGGGAGAGGUAGAUGGAAUUUCCGGUGUAGGGGUAAAAUCCGUAGAGAUCAGAAGGAAUACCGAUUGCGAAGGCGAUCUACUAGAACAUUAUUGACGCUGAGACGCGAAAGCGUGGGGAGCAAACAGGAUUAGAUACCCCAGUAGUC